UGGGGAAUUUUGGACAAUGGGGGCAACCCGUGAUCCAGCAAUGCCGCGUGUGUGAAGAAGGCCUUCGGGUUGUAAAGCACUUUUGUCCGGAAAGAAAACGCCGUGGUUAAUACCCGUGGCGGAUGACGGUACCGGAAGAAUAAGCACCGGCUAACUACGUGCCAGCAGCCGCGGUAAUACGUAGGGUGCAAGCGUUAAUCGGAAUUACUGGGCGUAAAGCGUGCGCAGGCGGUCCGCUAAGACAGAUGUGAAAUCCCCGGGCUUAACCUGGGAACUGCAUUUGUGACUGGCGGGCUAGAGUAUGGCAGAGGGGGGUAGAAUUCCACGUGUAGCAGUGAAAUGCGUAGAGAUGUGGAGGAAUACCGAUGGCGAAGGCAGCCCCCUGGGCCAAUACUGACGCUCAUGCACGAAAGCGUGGGGAGCAAACAGGAUUAGAUACCCUGGUAGUCCACG
This 453-nucleotide ribosomal RNA is filed under the name uncultured bacterium. RNAcentral's name for it is "partial 16S ribosomal RNA". It matches the Rfam family "Bacterial small subunit ribosomal RNA", at positions 355 to 799 of the family's 1533-position model. The record is from RNAcentral.